UUCAAAUCAAGAAAACUCCAAGUCGAAUUAAAAUCAUCCAUCAUAUAACAUCACAUAAUACAUUUCCCAGGUUUACAUAACACAAUAACUAUCUCAUGAAUACAUUUCCUUGCAAACUGGGUAUUGAGUGCCCUCAGGUGCUUGCAAGCAGUGUCGGUCCGUUCAGGGUCUAGAGCACCAGCUCCUGUAUGGGGAGACCCUGCCCUGUGAAAGUCCAUUACUCUCUUGCUUGAUAGCUGCAAGAAAUGUGCAAUGAAUUAAUAGAGGCGGAUUUUACAGCAAGAAAAAUC
This 290-nucleotide long non-coding RNA is filed under the name Hordeum vulgare. Its description in RNAcentral is "long non-coding RNA (HVUL_LNC008422)". Lineage: Eukaryota; Viridiplantae; Streptophyta; Magnoliopsida; Poales; Poaceae. The record is from RNAcentral.